GAUCAUGGCUCAGGAUGAACGCUAGCGGCAGGCUUAACACAUGCAAGUCGAGGGGCAACGCGAGUAGCAAUACUUGGCGGCGACCGGCGCAAGGGUGCGUAACGCGUGAGCAACAUGCCCGUAUCAGGGGGAUAAUCCAGGGAAACUUGGUCUAAUACCCCAUAGUAAUUUUGUAAGGCAUCUUAUAAGAUUUAAAGCUUUGGUGGAUACGGAUUGGCUCGCGUGACAUUAGCUGGAUGGUAAGGUAACGGCUUACCAUGGCUAUGAUGUCUAGGGGUUCUGAGAGGAAGGUCCCCCACACUGGAACUGAGACACGGUCCAGACUCCUACGGGAGGCAGCAGUGAGGAAUAUUGGACAAUGGAUGGAAAUCUGAUCCAGCCAUGCCGCGUGAAAGGAAGAAGGUCCUAUGGAUUGUAAACUUCUUUUGUAUGGGAGCAAUAAGGCCUACGAGUAGGCUGAUGAGAGUACCAUACGAAUAAGCACCGGCUAACUCCGUGCCAGCCGCUGC
RNAcentral lists this ribosomal RNA (509 nucleotides) under uncultured bacterium. Its description in RNAcentral is "bacterial SSU rRNA". It matches the Rfam family "Bacterial small subunit ribosomal RNA", at positions 15 to 518 of the family's 1533-position model. The record is from RNAcentral.